UGACUGCUUCCAGAGUGGCCCACUCUGACA
RNAcentral lists this non-coding RNA (30 nucleotides) under Rattus norvegicus (Norway rat). The record is from RNAcentral. Lineage: Eukaryota; Metazoa; Chordata; Mammalia; Rodentia; Muridae.